UUAAAUUGAAGAGUUUGAUCAUGGCUCAGAUUGAACGCUGGCGGCAGGCCUAACACAUGCAAGUCGAACGGUAACAGGAAGCAGCUUGCUGCUUUGCUGACGAGUGGCGGACGGGUGAGUAAUGUCUGGGAAACUGCCUGAUGGAGGGGGAUAACUACUGGAAACGGUAGCUAAUACCGCAUAACGUCGCAAGACCAAAGANGGGGGACCUUAGGGCCUC
RNAcentral lists this ribosomal RNA (220 nucleotides) under Escherichia coli. Its description in RNAcentral is "partial 16S ribosomal RNA". It matches the Rfam family "Bacterial small subunit ribosomal RNA", at positions 1 to 212 of the family's 1533-position model. Lineage: Bacteria; Pseudomonadati; Pseudomonadota; Gammaproteobacteria; Enterobacterales; Enterobacteriaceae. The record is from RNAcentral.